GCACGUAAUCUGCCCCUCGUCGCACACGAGGAUCAGCGUCACCUUCGUCAGGGUCCGGCCCUCCGACACGGCGGCGGCGGUGGCGGCGGUCAGCCCCUCUCCCGCUCCGCUGGGGAAAGCGAUAACCCUGUGGCAACCGGAGCACAAGGAGACGGCGACGGCGGCGGCGGCGGCGGCGGCCGGGGGAGGGGGCCUGAUGGUCAGGGCGGGGCCCCGGUGGGGGGCGUGGCGCCGCUGCAGGCGCCGAUGGUGCUCUUCGCUCCGGCGAGGCCGGCUGCGCUGGGCCCACCGGCGAGGAGGUUCGCUCGGGGGGCACCGGCGUGUUCUUGCCGUGGACGGUGGGCCCAAGAAGUACCACAAGCACGUCCCCCCUCGCAUUCAGCGGCGCCGCCUCGCCUCCCUCCCGCCGCCGGCCCUGGAGGCCGCCGUCUGACCGGGCCGCCUUCUCUCCCUCCGCCGCCGCCCUGGAAACGGCUGCGCUGAGAGCUGAGAGCUGAGCUGUGGUGGAUCGGAUCGGAUCGACUCGGGGGAGAGGAGCUGUGGAGUUUGAACAAUGUAGGUGUUUUCCUUCCAAGGGUAAAAAUUUUUGUGCAACCCACCCACCCACC
This 608-nucleotide long non-coding RNA is filed under the name Spirodela polyrhiza (greater duckweed). Its description in RNAcentral is "long non-coding RNA (SPOL_LNC002354)". The record is from RNAcentral. Lineage: Eukaryota; Viridiplantae; Streptophyta; Magnoliopsida; Alismatales; Araceae.